GAACCGUCAAUUGCUGUUACUAAAAGUCGGAAAUGGAUCCUCUCCAUUUUUUUGGUCACUAGAGAGAAUAAAGUGUAAUCUCCCACCUUUAAUUCUACAAGUAGGACCAGUAAUAAAUAAGAAAGAGAA
This is a non-coding RNA of Arachis ipaensis, 129 nucleotides long. The record is from RefSeq and is a predicted model, not a curated record. Lineage: Eukaryota; Viridiplantae; Streptophyta; Magnoliopsida; Fabales; Fabaceae.